This 230-nucleotide unclassified non-coding RNA is filed under the name Glomus sp. RNAcentral's name for it is "partial contains 5.8S ribosomal RNA and internal transcribed spacer 2". The stretch from base 1 to 65 matches the Rfam family "5.8S ribosomal RNA", at positions 84 to 154 of the family's 154-position model. Lineage: Eukaryota; Fungi; Glomeromycota; Glomeromycetes; Glomerales; Glomeraceae. The record is from RNAcentral.
GUGAAUCAUCGAAUUUUUGAACGCAAAUUGCACUCUCCUCGGAGAGUAUGCCUGUUUGAGGGUCAGCCUAUAAAAAAUCGACAUCGUUGCUGUUUCGCGGUGGCGUUCGUCGGAAAUUGGGUCAUCUUAAAUCCUUUUGAUUUAAGCGACUUAAAAUUUUCUUUUGGUUCCAUGAACGUUUCUAGAUCUUUUUCCUUACCCGUUUCAGGUAUCCGUUUUUUCUUGACCUU